CUACGGAGGGUGCAAGCGUUAUUCGGAAUCACUGGGCGUAAAGGACGCGUAGGCGGGUUGGCAAGUCAGAUGUGAAAUCCUACAGCUUAACUGUAGAACUGCAUUUGAAACUGCUAACCUAGAGUAUGGGAGGGGGAGAUGGAAUUAGUGGUGUAGGGGUAAGAUCCGUAGAUAUCACUAGGAAUACCGAAAGCGAAGGCGGUCUCCUGGAACAUAACUGACGCUAAGGCGUGAAAGCGUGGGGAGCAAACAGGAUUAGAAACCCUAGUAGUCC
RNAcentral lists this ribosomal RNA (274 nucleotides) under uncultured bacterium. RNAcentral's name for it is "partial 16S ribosomal RNA". It matches the Rfam family "Bacterial small subunit ribosomal RNA", at positions 523 to 796 of the family's 1533-position model. The record is from RNAcentral.